This 463-nucleotide ribosomal RNA is filed under the name uncultured bacterium. RNAcentral's name for it is "partial 16S ribosomal RNA". It matches the Rfam family "Bacterial small subunit ribosomal RNA", at positions 339 to 795 of the family's 1533-position model. The record is from RNAcentral.
CUACGGGCUGCAGCAGUGGGGAAUAUUGCACAAUGGGCGCAAGCCUGAUGCAGCCAUGCCGCGUGUAUGAAGAAGGCCUUCGGGUUGUAAAGUACUUUCAGCGGGGAGGAAGGGAGUAAAGUUAAUACCUUUGCUCAUUGACGUUACCCGCAGAAGAAGCACCGGCUAAGUCCGUGCCAGCAGCCGCGGUAUACGGAGGGUGCAAGCGUUAAUCGGAAUUACUGGGCGUAAAGCGCACGCAGGCGGUUUGUUAAGUCAGAUGUGAAAUCCCCGGGCUCAACCUGGGAACUGCAGCUGAUACUGGCAAGCUUGAGUCUCGUAGAGGGGGGUAGAAUUCCAGGUGUAGCGGUGAAAUGCGUAGAGAUCUGGAGGAAUACCGGUGGCGAAGGCGGCCCCCUGGACGAAGACUGACGCUCAGGUGCGAAAGCGUGGGGAGCAAACAGGAUUAGAUACCCUGGUAGUC